GACGAACGCUGGCGGCGUGCCUAAUACAUGCAAGUCGAGCGGAAGUUGGAGAGCUUGCUCUUCAACUUUAGCGGCGGACGGGUGAGUAACACGUGGGCAACCUGCCCUGCAGAUCGGGAUAACUCCGGGAAGCCGGUGCUAAUACCGAAUAGUUUUCGCCACCUCCUGGUGGCGUACGGAAAGACGGUUUCGGCUGUCACUGCAGGAUGGGCCCGCGGCGCAUUAGCUAGUUGGUGGGGUAACGGCCCACCAAGGCGGCGAUGCGUAGCCGACCUGAGAGGGUGAUCGGCCACACUGGGACUGAGACACGGCCCAGACCCCUACGGGAGGCAGCAGUAGGGAAUCUUCCGCAAUGGACGAAAGUCUGACGGAGCAACGCCGCGUGAGUGACGAAGGUUUUCGGAUCGUAAAACUCUGUUGUGAGGGAAGAACAAGUACCACUUAACUACUGGUACCUUGACGGUACCUCGCCAGAAAGCCACGGCUAACUACGUGCCAGCCGCCGCGGUAA
RNAcentral lists this ribosomal RNA (511 nucleotides) under uncultured bacterium. RNAcentral describes it as "partial 16S ribosomal RNA". It matches the Rfam family "Bacterial small subunit ribosomal RNA", at positions 28 to 523 of the family's 1533-position model. The record is from RNAcentral.